Molecule: non-coding RNA, 45 nt
Organism: Trichobilharzia regenti
Lineage: Eukaryota; Metazoa; Platyhelminthes; Trematoda; Strigeidida; Schistosomatidae
Source: Rfam
AUCCAGAUGACGAGUCCCAAAUAGGGCAAAAUGCAAGUCCUGGAU